UACGAAGGGGGCUAGCGUUGUUCGGAAUUACUGGGCGUAAAGCGCGCGUAGGCGGUGAUCUUUGUCAGAGGUGAAAGCCCGGGGCUCAACUCCGGAAUUGCCUUUGAAACGGGAUCGCUAGAGUCCGAGAGAGGAUGGCGGAAUUCCUAGUGUAGAGGUGAAAUUCGUAGAUAUCGGGAGGAACACCAGUGGCGAAGGCGGCUCUCUGGACCGAAACUGACGCUGAGACGCGAAAGCGUGGGGAGCAAACAGG
This 253-nucleotide ribosomal RNA is filed under the name uncultured bacterium. Its description in RNAcentral is "partial 16S ribosomal RNA". It matches the Rfam family "Bacterial small subunit ribosomal RNA", at positions 524 to 776 of the family's 1533-position model. The record is from RNAcentral.